AGCAGCCGCGGUAAUUCCAGCUCCAAUAGCGUAUAUUAAAGUUGUUGCAGUUAAAAGCUCGUAGUUGAGUUUCGGGAUCAGUUGAUCGGUCGUGCCUCGGUACGUACUGGUCAAAUUGAUUCCUACCUUCUGACGAACCACGAUGUCAUUAAUUUGGUGUCGUGGGAAAUCAGGACUGUUACUUUGAAAAAUUAGAGUGUUUAAAGCAGGCUCGCGCUUGAAUACAUUAGCAUGGAAUAAUGAAAUAGGACGUUUGAUUCUAUUUUGUUGGUUUCUAGGAUCGACGUAAUGAUUAAUAGGGAUAGUUGGGGGCAUUAGUAUUCAAUUGUCAGAGGUGAAAUUCUUGGAUUUAUUGAAGACUAACUACUGCGAAAGCAUUUGCCAAGGAUGUUUUCAUUAAUCAAGAACGAAAGUUAGGGAUCGAAGACGAUCAGAUACCGUCGUAGUCUUAACCAUAAACUAUA
This 464-nucleotide unclassified non-coding RNA is filed under the name uncultured Glomus. RNAcentral describes it as "SSU rRNA". It matches the Rfam family "Eukaryotic small subunit ribosomal RNA", at positions 569 to 1041 of the family's 1831-position model. Lineage: Eukaryota; Fungi; Glomeromycota; Glomeromycetes; Glomerales; Glomeraceae. The record is from RNAcentral.